RNAcentral lists this ribosomal RNA (1377 nucleotides) under uncultured bacterium. Its description in RNAcentral is "partial 16S ribosomal RNA". It matches the Rfam family "Bacterial small subunit ribosomal RNA", at positions 28 to 1381 of the family's 1533-position model. The record is from RNAcentral.
GACGAACGCUGGCGGCGUGCCUAAUACAUGCAAGUCGAGCGAAGUUUUUCUGGUGCUUGCACUAGAAAAACUUAGCGGCGAACGGGUGAGUAACACGUAAAGAACCUGCCUUAUAGACUGGGACAACUAUUGGAAACGAUAGCUAAUACCGGAUAACAGCAUUAACUGCAUGGUUGAUGUUUAAAAGUUGGUUAUGCUAACACUAUGAGAUGGCUUUGCGGUGCAUUAGCUAGUUGGUGGGGUAAAGGCCCACCAAGGCGACGAUGCAUAGCCGACCUGAGAGGGUGAUCGGCCACACUGGGACUGAGACACGGCCCAGACUCCUACGGGAGGCAGCAGUAGGGAAUCUUCCGCAAUGGGCGAAAGCCUGACGGAGCAGCGCCGCGUGAGUGAAGAAGGAUUUCGGUUCGUAAAGCUCUGUUGUUAGGGAAGAAUGAUUGUGUAGUAACUAUACACAGUAGAGACGGUACCUAACCAGAAAGCCACGGCUAACUACGUGCCAGCAGCCGCGGUAAUACGUAGGUGGCAAGCGUUGUCCGGAAUUAUUGGGCGUAAAGCGCGCGCAGGUGGUUUAAUAAGUCUGAUGUGAAAGCCCACGGCUCAACCGUGGAGGGUCAUUGGAAACUGUUAAACUUGAGUGCAGGAGAGAAAAGUGGAAUUCCUAGUGUAGCGGUGAAAUGCGUAGAGAUUAGGAGGAACACCAGUGGCGAAGGCGGUUCUCUGGGCCUUUCCUGACGCUGAGGAGCGAAAGCGUGGGGAGCGAACAGGCUUAGAUACCCUGGUAGUCCACGCUGUAAACGGUGGGUACUAGGUGUGGGGUCCAUUCCACGGGUUCCGUGCCGUAGCUAACGCUUUAAGUACCCCGCCUGGGGAGUACGGCCGCAAGGCUAAAACUCAAAGGAAUUGACGGGGCCCCGCACAAGCGGCGGAGCAUGCGGAUUAAUUCGAUGCAACGCGUAGAACCUUACCUGGGUUUGACAUGGAUCGGGAGUGCUCAGAGAUGGGUGUGCCUCUUUUGGGGUCGGUUCACAGGUGGUGCAUGGCUGUCGUCAGCUCGUGUCGUGAGAUGUUGGGUUAAGUCCCGCAACGAGCGCAACCCUUGUUCACUGUUGCCAGCACGUUAUGGUGGGGACUCAGUGGAGACCGCCGGGGUCAACUCGGAGGAAGGUGGGGAUGACGUCAAGUCAUCAUGCCCCUUAUGUCCAGGGCUUCACGCAUGCUACAAUGGCUGGUACAGAGAGUGGCGAGCCUGUGAGGGUGAGCGAAUCUCGGAAAGCCGGUCUCAGUUCGGAUUGGGGUCUGCAACUCGACCUCAUGAAGUCGGAGUCGCUAGUAAUCGCAGAUCAGCAACGCUGCGGUGAAUACGUUCCCGGGGCU